Quercus lobata is the source of this 85-nucleotide long non-coding RNA. RefSeq lists it as uncharacterized. The transcript is spliced from 2 exons. NCBI's taxonomy places the organism in Eukaryota, Viridiplantae, Streptophyta, Magnoliopsida, Fagales, Fagaceae. The record is from RefSeq and is a predicted model, not a curated record.
GCAAGAAGCAAAGGCAACCAUGAGAUUUCAAAGGGGAGGAGUACAUAAAUUUGAUUUUGGAAGAUGUUGGAAAAGUCAAUAUCGA